Molecule: transfer RNA, 72 nt
Filed under: Schistosoma japonicum
Lineage: Eukaryota; Metazoa; Platyhelminthes; Trematoda; Strigeidida; Schistosomatidae
Description: tRNA-Leu
Source: RNAcentral
GGCUCAGUGGUCCAAUGGUAAAGCGCUCGUCGCAGAACCAAAGAGUCCUGGGUUCGAUUUCCAACAGGGUCG